Molecule: ribosomal RNA, 2355 nt
Filed under: Salmonella enterica subsp. enterica serovar Montevideo str. 42N
Lineage: Bacteria; Pseudomonadati; Pseudomonadota; Gammaproteobacteria; Enterobacterales; Enterobacteriaceae
Description: bacterial LSU rRNA
Rfam family: Bacterial large subunit ribosomal RNA
Source: RNAcentral
UGACUGCGUACCUUUUGUAUAAUGGGUCAGCGACUUAUAUUCUGUAGCAAGGUUAACCGAAUAGGGGAGCCGGAGGGAAACCGAGUCUUAAUUGGGCGUUAAGUUGCAGGGUAUAGACCCGAAACCCGGUGAUCUAGCCAUGGGCAGGUUGAAGGUUGGGUAACACUAACUGGAGGACCGAACCGACUAAUGUUGAAAAAUUAGCGGAUGACCUGUGGCUGGGGGUGAAAGGCCAAUCAAACCGGGAGAUAGCUGGUUCUCCCCGAAAGCUAUUUAGGUAGCGCCUCGUGAAUUCAUCUCCGGGGGUAGAGCACUGUUUCGGCUAGGGGGCCAUCCCGGCUUACCAACCCGAUGCAAACUGCGAAUACCGGAGAAUGUUAUCACGGGAGACACACGGCGGGUGCUAACGUCCGUCGUGAAGAGGGAAACAACCCAGACCGCCAGCUAAGGUCCCAAAGUCAUGGUUAAGUGGGAAACGAUGUGGGAAGGCCCAGACAGCCAGGAUGUUGGCUUAGAAGCAGCCAUCAUUUAAAGAAAGCGUAAUAGCUCACUGGUCGAGUCGGCCUGCGCGGAAGAUGUAACGGGGCUAAACCAUGCACCGAAGCUGCGGCAGCGACACUCAGGUGUUGUUGGGUAGGGGAGCGUUCUGUAAGCCUGCGAAGGUGGCCUGUGAGGGUUGCUGGAGGUAUCAGAAGUGCGAAUGCUGACAUAAGUAACGAUAAAGCGGGUGAAAAGCCCGCUCGCCGGAAGACCAAGGGUUCCUGUCCAACGUUAAUCGGGGCAGGGUGAGUCGACCCCUAAGGCGAGGCCGAAAGGCGUAGUCGAUGGGAAACGGGUUAAUAUUCCCGUACUUGGUGUUACUGCGAAGGGGGGACGGAGAAGGCUAUGUUGGCCGGGCGACGGUUGUCCCGGUUUAAGCGUGUAGGUGUGUGUUCCAGGUAAAUCCGGUUCACUUUAACACUGAGGCGUGAUGACGAGGCACUACGGUGCUGAAGCAACAAAUGCCCUGCUUCCAGGAAAAGCCUCUAAGCAUCAGGUAACAUCAAAUCGUACCCCAAACCGACACAGGUGGUCAGGUAGAGAAUACCAAGGCGCUUGAGAGAACUCGGGUGAAGGAACUAGGCAAAAUGGUGCCGUAACUUCGGGAGAAGGCACGCUGACACGUAGGUGAAGUGAUUUACUCAUGGAGCUGAAGUCAGUCGAAGAUACCAGCUGGCUGCAACUGUUUAUUAAAAACACAGCACUGUGCAAACACGAAAGUGGACGUAUACGGUGUGACGCCUGCCCGGUGCCGGAAGGUUAAUUGAUGGGGUCAGCGCAAGCGAAGCUCCUGAUCGAAGCCCCGGUAAACGGCGGCCGUAACUAUAACGGUCCUAAGGUAGCGAAAUUCCUUGUCGGGUAAGUUCCGACCUGCACGAAUGGCGUAAUGAUGGCCAGGCUGUCUCCACCCGAGACUCAGUGAAAUUGAACUCGCUGUGAAGAUGCAGUGUACCCGCGGCAAGACGGAAAGACCCCGUGAACCUUUACUAUAGCUUGACACUGAACAUUGAGCCUUGAUGUGUAGGAUAGGUGGGAGGCUUUGAAGUGUGGACGCCAGUCUGCAUGGAGCCGACCUUGAAAUACCACCCUUUAAUGUUUGAUGUUCUAACGUGGACCCGUGAUCCGGGUUGCGGACAGUGUCUGGUGGGUAGUUUGACUGGGGCGGUCUCCUCCUAAAGAGUAACGGAGGAGCACGAAGGUUGGCUAAUCCUGGUCGGACAUCAGGAGGUUAGUGCAAUGGCAUAAGCCAGCUUGACUGCGAGCGUGACGGCGCGAGCAGGUGCGAAAGCAGGUCAUAGUGAUCCGGUGGUUCUGAAUGGAAGGGCCAUCGCUCAACGGAUAAAAGGUACUCCGGGGAUAACAGGCUGAUACCGCCCAAGAGUUCAUAUCGACGGCGGUGUUUGGCACCUCGAUGUCGGCUCAUCACAUCCUGGGGCUGAAGUAGGUCCCAAGGGUAUGGCUGUUCGCCAUUUAAAGUGGUACGCGAGCUGGGUUUAGAACGUCGUGAGACAGUUCGGUCCCUAUCUGCCGUGGGCGCUGGAGAACUGAGGGGGGCUGCUCCUAGUACGAGAGGACCGGAGUGGACGCAUCACUGGUGUUCGGGUUGUCAUGCCAAUGGCACUGCCCGGUAGCUAAAUGCGGAAGAGAUAAGUGCUGAAAGCAUCUAAGCACGAAACUUGCCCCGAGAUGAGUUCUCCCUGAGACUUUAGGUCUCCUGAAGGAACGUUGAAGACGACGACGUUGAUAGGCCGGGUGUGUAAGCGCAGCGAUGCGUUGAGCUAACCGGUACUAAUGAACCGUGAGGCUUAACCUUAC